AGCGAACGCUGGCGGCAGGCUUAACACAUGCAAGUCGAACGGGCUUCUUCGGACGUCCGUGGCAGACGGGUGAGUAACACGUGGGAACGUGCCCUUCGGUCCGGAAUAACUCAGGGAAACUUGAGCUAAUACCGGAUACGCCCUUAUGGGGAAAGGUUUACUGCCGAAGGAUCGGCCCGCGUCUGAUUAGCUUGUUGGUGGGGUAACGGCCUACCAAGGCGACGAUCAGUAGCUGGUCUGAGAGGAUGAUCAGCCACACUGGGACUGAGACACGGCCCAGACUCCUACGGGAGGCAGCAGUGGGGAAUAUUGGACAAUGGGCGCAAGCCUGAUCCAGCCAUGCCGCGUGAGUGAUGAAGGCCUUAGGGUUGUAAAGCUCUUUUGUCCGGGACGAUAAUGACGGUACCGGAAGAAUAAGCCCCGGCUAACUUCGUG
This 435-nucleotide ribosomal RNA is filed under the name uncultured bacterium. Its description in RNAcentral is "partial 16S ribosomal RNA". It matches the Rfam family "Bacterial small subunit ribosomal RNA", at positions 29 to 507 of the family's 1533-position model. The record is from RNAcentral.